This 440-nucleotide ribosomal RNA is filed under the name uncultured bacterium. RNAcentral describes it as "partial 16S ribosomal RNA". It matches the Rfam family "Bacterial small subunit ribosomal RNA", at positions 338 to 795 of the family's 1533-position model. The record is from RNAcentral.
CCUACGGGUGGCAGCAGUGGGGAAUAUUACACAAUGGGGGAAACCCUGAUGCAGCGACGCCGCGUGAGUGAAGAAGUAAUUCGUUACGUAAAGCUCUAUCAGCAGGGAAGAAAAUGACGGUACCUGAGUCAGAAGCCCCGGCUAACUACGUGCCAGCAGCCGCGGCAAUACGGAGGGGGCAAGCGUCAUCCGGAUUUACUGGGUGUAAAGGGAGCGUAGACGGUGCGCCAAGUCUGGAGGGAAAUGCCGCAGCUUAACUGCGGAACUGCGUUGGAAACUGGCGAACUAGAGUGCGGGAGGGGUAAGCGGAAUUCGUGGUGUAGCGGUGAAAUGCGUAGAUAUUAGGAGGAACACCGAUUGCGAAGGCGGCAUACUGGACCGUAACUGACGUUGAGGCACGAAAGCGUGGGGAGCGAACAGGAUUAGAUACCCUUGUAGUC